GAAGAGAUGGACUAUUUAAAUGCGAACAAUAUCACACGAGAACAUGUUGGACAGUGCUUAUAUUAUCCUGAGGUGAAGAGGCCUUUCUUAGCAGGACAGAAAAAUCCAAAACUAUAGAGGAAAUGCUUGACUUCUAAUGACAUGAAAACGUAUCACCUCCAUACGUCAAAAAACAAAAUCACAGACAAAUUAAAAGAUGAAGGGCAAGCAGGAAAGCAUUGGCAAUAUAUAAAACAGCCACCUGGUAGUUACCGUAAUGUCUUCAAGUCUCUUUAAAAUUCAUUAAGAGAUGUAGGGGAGCCUGGCUGGCUUAAUCAGUGGAGCGUGCAACUCUCGACCUCAGGGUGGUGAGUUCGAGUCCCACGCUGGGUGCAGAGAUUACUUACACAAUAAAAUCUUAAAAAAAAAAAAAUUAUUAAGAGGUGCAGACUUCCACUGCAUUCGUAAUGUUAUUUGUACGUGUCUGCUGAGUCGAUAAGUUGAUCUGCAGAAUUUUUAUACCUUUUUUGUUUUCAUGAGACAUUUGAUAGUAAAUCCAGGAUGAUGAAAAGGAACCAAAACAACAGAGGAGCAACCCCUUAGGAAACCGACAAAGAGGUGAAUGAACGCUCCCUACCACUAACCAAAUGUGAUACAGUGAUUUGCAAGAAGAAAUACGUAUCUGGCCUUUGUCCACUGUUCCAGGCACACAGUUCCAAAACUUGGAAUCUCCUAUACAGGAACCGCAGGGGCCUCUUUUGUUACAAUACUUAGUUUUGUUCCCAGUCCCUGAAACAGCUCCAGAUUGGUAAAGGGGAAGUGGGCGGCUUUUGUUAUUUAUAACAAACCCCUCUCCGCGGUGUGACUUUCGGAGAGCCCCCGAGGGCGGGGGCUGGUUGCCAGGGCAACCAACCUGCGAUCCCAGGGUGGGAACUCCAAGCCCCGCCCCCAGCUCUACGGAGGGGAGAGGGGCUGGAGAUCUGAGCUCGGUCGCCCGUCCCACCUUUGUAGUGAAGCCCGCACCGGAGCCCAGGAGGACAGGGCCCAGCGCUUCCCGGCUGGUGAAGAUGGAGAAGAACGACGCACCAGGACGGGUCUUGGGUGCUGUGCCCCCUCCCACAUCCAGUGCCCUACGCAUCAGUUCCAGCGGGCUCUCCCUGAGUUACACCUUUUUUCCAACAAACAGCUCCUUCUGCUGAGAAUGCCAACUCCCCGAUGCCCAUUCCCAUUCCUCAGACUCAUGUAUUGUUGAAGAUACUUCUCAGGUGUUACCUCCUCUGUUGGUCUAUUCCUCUUCUGAACCCGUAAAACUUUGAAUCACGCUGA
This is a long non-coding RNA of Neofelis nebulosa (Clouded leopard), 1305 nucleotides long. RefSeq lists it as uncharacterized. The record is from RefSeq and is a predicted model, not a curated record. NCBI's taxonomy places the organism in Eukaryota, Metazoa, Chordata, Mammalia, Carnivora, Felidae. The transcript has 2 exons.